GUGCAGCAGGCGAGAAACCUUCGCAAUGCGGGAAACCGCGACGAGGGGACUCCCAGUGCCUACGCUCAGCGUAGGCUGUUCCCGAGCCUAGAAAGCUCGGGGAGUAAGGGCUGGGUAAGACGGGUGCCAGCCGCCGCGGUAAUACCCGCAGCCCCGAGUGGUAGCCACUAUUAUUGGGCCUAAAGCGUCCGUAGCCGGCCCGGUAAAUGCCUGGGUAAAUCGUGAGGCCUAACCUCACGAAUUCCGGGUAGACUGCCGGGCUAGGGGACCGGAGGAGGGAGAGGGGUACUCCAGGGGUAGGGGUGAAAUCCUGUAAUCCCUGGAGGACCACCGGUGGCGAAGGCGCUCUCCUAGGACGGGUCCGACGGUGAGGGACGAAAGCCAGGGGAGCGAACCGGAUUAGAUACCCCCGUAGU
This 416-nucleotide ribosomal RNA is filed under the name uncultured microorganism. Its description in RNAcentral is "bacterial SSU rRNA". It matches the Rfam family "Archaeal small subunit ribosomal RNA", at positions 330 to 745 of the family's 1478-position model. The record is from RNAcentral.